RNAcentral lists this long non-coding RNA (2092 nucleotides) under Pan troglodytes (chimpanzee). RNAcentral's name for it is "long non-coding RNA NONPTRT017658". The record is from RNAcentral. Lineage: Eukaryota; Metazoa; Chordata; Mammalia; Primates; Hominidae.
GGGAGGCACUGCUUCUUCCUCCAUAUGUCGUGAUCUCAACAGCUUGUCACCCAACAGAAAACAUCAUCGCCUCUGCUGCGCUAGAAAAUGACAAAACAAUUAAACUGUGGAAGAGUGACUGCUAAGUCCCUUUGCUCCUGCCCGCGAGAGACUGUCGGGAAGUUGACCCGGAUUGGCAAGAAACAGAGUGUCUUGGAGGUGGUCCCCCGGAGCUGCGCCUGGGGGUCAGGACAGGGCCUGAUUUGAGCCUCCUCUCUGAAGAUGAUUUGGCCGAGCGGAAGGUGUGGACCACCGGAAAGUUCUAAAAGUUGCUGGUGACAUUUCUUGCCAAUUCUAACACUGUCUAGGGAAGAGUUCCUAGUCUAUUGUGUUCAAACAGAGUCAACAAAAGUUUUUAAUUUUUUAUUACAGAAGGGUGAAGUUCAAUUUAACAUGCGUUGUGUUUUUUCAGUAAACGUUCUGUAUCCUUUUGAUAUUCCAUGACCCAGUGCACGCUGUGGCCUGUCACCGCCACCGUGGCCCCGCCAGCUGGCCUCCCCUUUGGCCCACGCCGGCCGCCCCCAUUCUCUGCUGCGUAGAUGCCCUGGCCCAGGGCCCUGACUCCUCCAUUCCCGCCAGUAGCUGUUCCUAGUGUAUUUUCGUCUUUCUGGAAAACAGCAUUGAGUGGUUGUUUUCCGUGUAAAGAGCCGUUUGUGUCUUGGGAGUUUGUGGCCCACAUGCCGAUAGCACGGUCAUCGCACAUGACUCUCCCGUUUGUCUCAGUGUCCCUGCAACAAGCAGCACCGCAGACUGUAAUAAAAGGUGGGGUUUUGUGAAUGGUUGUGGCAAGUGCGUCCUUGUGAAGCUCCUCUCCAUGUGGCUUUCUUGGAGAAAGGCUCCCCUGGGGCAAGAGGGCGGAAGGUUUCUUUGGACAGGAGGUGCUGAGGCUGGCUGCACCUGCUCUCUGAAGACGCCUUCCUCUCUAGGUUCAUUGUUCAGUGUUGCUGGGGGGCGGGGAACGGGGGUGGGGAGGUUCUUAGUUGCGAAGGAGCCAAGCUCCUGAUGGACUCGCGUUGGGAUGUGGGGGACACCUGUGGCAUGGUAAGGCUCCCUGAGUCCCUCACUCCAGGUCAGAUGCCAGUGGGACUCAUGCGCCCUAUGAGGGCUGCAGGGCCAGUGCUGCCCCUCGGACUCCUCGAGGGGUUGGGUGCUAAGCGCAAGCCUCGCCGUCCCUGCUGGAGCCCUCACCUGCCUGCCCCUCUGCCUGUGCUCCUGGCAGUGUGGCUUCCCGGUGCUCACCUGCACGGCAGUUUACAGCAGAGGCCGAGCGGGAGCCUCUGGGGAGUGAGGCUGAAAGCUGAACCUGCCCAUGGAGACAGUUGUGGUGAGGGUUGCCACACACAGUGAGGGCGGAGCAGGGUGGCUGAGGGCACAGGUGCCUGGGUCUGUCCCACGGGGCAGGGCUUUGGGGCUGUGAUGCUCUGGGAAGCCAGCUUGGGUCCUGGGUCCACAGAGGGCCCUGGCCCCGGAUCCCAGCCAGCUCUGCCUCUCUCAGGGCCUGGAGUCCUGGGGGAGCUCAGCCAGCUCUGCCUUUCUCAGGGCCUGGAGUCCUGGGUGAAUCCUGCAGGUUUUUGGUUGCACCGGCCCAGGGAGGAAGCGGGGGGUUUGUCAGGUGGGCUCUCCUGGGGGUCCUCGAGUGGCAGGGGUGAGGAGGGGAUUAUCUGAGGCAUCUGGAGAUGUAUGUCCUGUGGUUUCCCCUGCCCCUCUGUUUCCGAUGAGGUGUACGGAUGAGUGACCUGCACUAAGAAGUGAGUUGCCACAGUGAAAAUGGGUUGGUUUUUGUCUUCGACGCUCAGGGUCUGGGCGCCUCGCAUUUGCAGUCUGUUGUGACAGACACGGGGAGCUCCGCGUGCCAGCCUGUGGCUACCCUGCUGUGGGGGUCCUGGGGCCGGCGAGGCCCCUUCAGUCUUGUUCUGGGGGGACGGCCCACUCCGGGGAGGGGGUGUGCUGUGCUGAGCGCUGUAUCCCUGAAUAUAGUUUAUUUUUUCUACAUUUGAAUUCUGUUGUAGAUUUAUGUAAAAAUACAUUCUUUUUGAAAAUAAAAAUUUUCAUG